This is a long non-coding RNA of Triticum dicoccoides, 1319 nucleotides long. RefSeq lists it as uncharacterized. The record is from RefSeq and is a predicted model, not a curated record. Lineage: Eukaryota; Viridiplantae; Streptophyta; Magnoliopsida; Poales; Poaceae. The transcript is spliced from 3 exons.
CAGUGGCACUACAUUCUUGUUCAUCUGCCAUGCUAUAUUAUCGGGCCGUGAUCACUCGGGAGGUGAUCACGCGUAUAUACUUGCUCUCAAUGUAAUGGUUUAGUCCUAGAACUUGCAUUUUGACCCUACCUAGUCCUUGAACUUGCAUCAAAUGUGCAAAUUUGGUCUUGACGAAUCACAGAGCGCCAUGUGGACGCGUGGGUGCCGAUCCGGUCAGCACGUGGCAUUUUUCAAAGAGGCCCCCGCCUUUGUUGUGAAUCUACCCGCAGGACAGGAAAGCACCUGAAUUAAUUUUUUACAAGAGCACGGUUUCCCCCCCCCCCCCACCCAAUCCAGACAGCCACACACUCAGUCCAUCUUUGUUUUUGCUCUGCUCUCUCUCGUCUCUGCUCAAGCCCGUAGCUUGUUGCCGUCGUCCAGCAAGCCGACCCAACCAUGGUUUCGUGGAGUGAUUCUGGAUCCAGCUCUUGCUCGUCAGGUGGCGACUCGGUCACUAGUCCGGGUCCUCGCACCAUUGAGAGCUUCGAUUGGAUGGGCCUUGCUGCAGAUCUACCUGAUAGGUGUGAGCACCAAGCAGUGUGUGAGAAGCUUGUUGCAUUUUAGUCUGUUGACAGUGGAAGAAGAUUCCUGGGUUGUGCACAGAAGGAUGGGCCUAGAUGCCCUUAUGUGCGUUGGGUUGACCCGGAGUGGCCUCCACAAUUGAGGACCCGUCUAGCUAGGGUCUGGGACAUGUAUGAAGAUGAGUACAGAUCCAGGAUCAGGGAAGCUGUAGCUGUGAUUGAAGAAAAUCUUAGGGUUCUAAAUGAGAAGGAAAAGCUGGAAAAAGACCUGAGGUUUUUUAAACUAGAUUUUGCUAAGAUGGUGGCUGACAAAGAGCAGACAAUUACUGAAUUAGGCAACACAAGGCUAGCUAUGUCUGACCUAAAGAUAGAACUUUAGAAGAAGAGAAUUGCUGACAAAUCAGUGACCAACAUUCAUCAGGUGGUCAGGGCUAAGGCAGAGAAAGAGAGGGGUGAGAUGAAGCAAGAGAGGGACAAAAUGAUGGAAGAGAGGGACAAAUUGAAGGAAGAAAGGGAUCAGUUGAAGAAAGAGAUAAAUAAGCUAGAGUAUAUGAUUGGUGACCUGUUCAAGCAUAUAUAAGGAAGACACCAAGUGCAAGAUAAGGAAGAUUAGGGAGAUGCUAGAUGAAUUUGAGUGAUCCAUUGGUGCUCUAAUGGAAUUUAGUUAAUGAUGAUCAGUGGUCUUGUUUAAUCGAGUGAAUUGCUGCCUAAAUUUUAGUUAUCUUUGAUGCACUGUACUAUUUGAUGCAAUGACCUAAU